Molecule: long non-coding RNA, 1221 nt
Filed under: Homo sapiens (human)
Lineage: Eukaryota; Metazoa; Chordata; Mammalia; Primates; Hominidae
Description: long intergenic non-protein coding RNA 320
Source: RNAcentral
GGAUAACAUGACAUAGCAGGAAUAAUACUGCCUUUUCUUUCUGGCAUGGAUCAAGAGAAAAGAAAAUACAAGAAAACAGACAGAAGCAAGGCAAGGUACUUCUAUGGAAGGGUGAGCCCUCACAGAUGGAGCAAUGGGGCGCGCACACCUGAACAAGGGAGGGGAAGGAGUUCUUAUCCCUGAUGCAUGUGACCCCUGCUGCUGUGUCCUUCCCCUAUUGGCUAAGGCUUCUGACAGCUUUGGAGAUUGUGACAUUGGAAUAAAGGAAAAACGUACAGGACUCAUGAAGCGCUGAAAUGUUCACAAAUAUCAAGCAAAAGUCAAUGAAAUUUAUUUUGAGCUAUUUACAUCAUUUAAUAAUUGAGCAAGGUAUACUCCUAUGAACAAAAUUUGGAGCAUGUUUGUCUCUCUCUGCCUGGCGUCUUCAGAAUUUGGAAACUAGUUAUGGUUUAUAAUCAGCUAUAGAAUUUUAACACGUGCUCUCAAAUGCAAGUUUCUGAUAACUUUGGAGAUUGUGACAUUGGAAUAAAGGAAGAGCUGGAAUGUUCAUGAAUAUCAAGCAAAAGUCAUGGAAAUUUAUUUUGAGCUAUUUACAGCAUUUAAUAAUUGAGCAAGGUAUACUCCUAUGAACAAAAUUUGGAGCAUGUUUGUCUCUCUCUGUCUGCCUGGCAUCUACAGAAUUUGGAAACUAGUUGAUGCAAUUGGAGAAACUGGUUGUUUUACCAAGGCUUUGACUGGAAGGAUAUGCUUCCCUUUAAGAAACCAAGCUCAACUUACAGAGCUGAUAAAACCCCUUUGGGAAAACUGGCCUCAUACCUUGUCUACACAGUCCCCAUGCAGGGUUCCUAACGUGUGGUGAGUAAAGCAUGUCACUUUCUAACAGGUCCAGGAACCCCAUGUUCUUGGGACCUCAAGAAGAGUGGAGUUUACCAAUUCACAGGUAUUCGAGGGUAAAAACCCAUGGGUGGUUUCAGCUUCAGGAAGUCCUAUCUGAGAUUCCUUGUGGAACAGCGUUCCAUCAAAGCCAAUUUAAAAAGCCUAUGUCAAAAUAAUUAUUCUUGCUACACUCUAUGCAAAUAAACAGGCCAAGUAUAGGACUAAAGUUUAUUUUGCAAACAGCUUAGUCCUAUCAUGAUUUGUUUUUAACAAAGAUGAAGACUGGAGAAAGAAAUUAUGUUUCAAAACUUAUUAUACAUUUGUCAUUAAAUUCUAGACUCAUUA